RNAcentral lists this ribosomal RNA (116 nucleotides) under Candidatus Desulfofervidaceae bacterium. The record is from RNAcentral. Lineage: Bacteria; Pseudomonadati; Thermodesulfobacteriota; Candidatus Desulfofervidia; Candidatus Desulfofervidales; Candidatus Desulfofervidaceae.
CCCGGUGGCUAUAGCGGAGGGGCCACACCCGAUCCCAUUCCGAACUCGGAAGUUAAGCCCUCCAGCGCCGAUGAUACUGCGGGGUUCCCCCGUGGGAAAGUAGGUCGCUGCCGGGA